Molecule: ribosomal RNA, 588 nt
Filed under: Cryptosporidium muris
Lineage: Eukaryota; Apicomplexa; Conoidasida; Eucoccidiorida; Cryptosporidiidae
Description: SSU rRNA
Rfam family: Eukaryotic small subunit ribosomal RNA
Source: RNAcentral
ACAGGGAGGUAGUGACAAGAAAUAACAAUACAGGGCCUAACGGUCUUGUAAUUGGAAUGAGUGAAGUAUAAACCCCUUUACGAGUAUCAAUUGGAGGGCAAGUCUGGUGCCAGCAGCCGCGGUAAUUCCAGCUCCAAUAGCGUAUAUUAAAGUUGUUGCAGUUAAAAAGCUCGUAGUUGGAUUUCUGUUGUAUAAUCUAUAAUAUUACUAAGGUAUAUAUUAUAUUAUCAACAUCCUUCCUAUUAUAUUUCUAAAUAUAUAGGAAACUUUACUUUGAGAAAAUUAGAGUGCUUAAAGCAGGCAACUGCCUUGAAUACUCCAGCAUGGAAUAAUAAGUAAGGACUUUUGUCUUUCUUAUUGGUUCUAGGACAAAAGUAAUGGUUAAUAGGGACAGUUGGGGGCAUUCGUAUUUAACAGCCAGAGGUGAAAUUCUUAGAUUUGUUAAAGACGAACUACUGCGAAAGCAUUUGCCAAGGAUGUUUUCAUUAAUCAAGAACGAAAGUUAGGGGAUCGAAGACGAUCAGAUACCGUCGUAGUCUUAACCAUAAACUAUGCCGACUAGAGAUUGGAGGUUGUUCCUUACUCCUU